AGCAUAUCAAUAAGCGGAGGAAAAGAAACCAACAGGGAUUGCCCCAGUAACGGCGAGUGAAGCGGCAAUAGCUCAAAUUUGAAAUCUGGCUCUUUCAGGGUCCGAGUUGUAAUUUGCAGAGGGUGCUUUGGCGUCGGCCGUGGUCUAAGUUCCUUGGAACAGGACGUCACAGAGGGUGAGAAUCCCGUACGUGGCCGCCGGUCUUCGCCGUGUAAAGCCCCUUCGACGAGUCGAGUUGUUUGGGAAUGCAGCUCUAAAUGGGAGAUAAAUUUCUUCUAAAGCUAAAUAUUGGCCAGAGACCGAUAGCGCACAAGUAGAGUGAUCGAAAGAUGAAAAGCACUUUGGAAAGAGAGUCAAAAAGCACGUGAAAUUGUUGAAAGGGAAGCGCUUGCAGCCAGACGUGCCCGCAGUUGCUCACCCGGGCUCUCGCCCGGGGCACUCUUCUGCGGGCAGGCCAGCAUCAGUUCGGGCGGUUGGAUAAAGGCCUCUGUCACGUACCACCCCCUCGGGGGCGGCCUUAUAGGGGAGGCGCAACACGACCAGCCCGAACUGAGGACCGCGCAUUAUGCUAGGAUGCUGGCGUAAUGGCUGUAAGCGGCCCGUCUUGAAACACGGACCAAGGAGUCUAACAUCUAUGCGAGUGUUUGGGUGUCAAGCCCGGACGCGCAAUGAAAGUGAACGGAGGUGGGAACCCUUACGGGCGCACCAUCGACCGAUCCUGAAGUCUUCGGAUGGAUUUGAGUAAGAGCAUAGCUGUUGGGACCCGAAAGAUGGUGAACUAUGCCUGAAUAGGGUGAAGCCAGGGGAAACCCUGGUGGAGGCUCGCAGCGGUUCUGACGUGCAAAUCGAUCGUCAAAUUUGGGC
This 864-nucleotide ribosomal RNA is filed under the name Parathyridaria clematidis. RNAcentral describes it as "partial large subunit ribosomal RNA". It matches the Rfam family "Eukaryotic large subunit ribosomal RNA", at positions 37 to 916 of the family's 3401-position model. The record is from RNAcentral. Lineage: Eukaryota; Fungi; Ascomycota; Dothideomycetes; Pleosporales; Thyridariaceae.